UGAACGCUAGCGGCAGGCUUAACACAUGCAAGUCGAACGGUAACAGAGAAAGCUUGCUUUUUGCUGACGAGUGGCGAACGGGUGCGUAACGCGUAUGCAACCUACCUUUUUCAGAGGAAUAGCCCAGAGAAAUUUGGAUUAAUACCUCAUAAUAAUAUUUUUUCGCAUGUUAAAAUAUUUAAAGCUACGGCGGAAAAAGAUGGGCAUGCGUAACAUUAGUUUGUUGGUGAGGUAAUGGCUCACCAAGACUACGAUGUUUAGGGGGUCUGAGAGGAUGAUCCCCCACACUGGUACUGAGACACGGACCAGACUCCUACGGGAGGCAGCAGUGAGGAAUAUUGGUCAAUGGACGAAAGUCUGAACCAGCCAUGCCGCGUGAAGGAUGACUGCCCUAUGGGUUGUAAACUUCUUUUGUAUAGGAAGAAACCCCUCUACGUGUAGAGGGCUGACGGUACUAUUCGAAUAAGCACCGG
Molecule: ribosomal RNA, 473 nt
Filed under: uncultured bacterium
Lineage: Bacteria
Description: bacterial SSU rRNA
Rfam family: Bacterial small subunit ribosomal RNA
Source: RNAcentral